UGGCCUCAGCACGUCUGGUCACAACAGUCCCCCUACUGCACAGGAAGGCAGAGGGGCUAAUAAGGGAUUAUGACUCACCAUGGCCACUUCAUGAGUCAGCCACUAUUGAGACAACACCCAGGUCCCCUGCGCCGGAUGGAGACUUGUCCUUUGCCACAUGUCACCUCCCCAUUCUUUUGACUGAUGACUGGAGGGACUUUUCUACACUUUCCUUCAGGUCAGUUUUUGAAGGAAGAGGUGAGGAGGUCCGGAAGUAGCAGCUCCUCCCCCACCCUCUCCCCCACCUCACCCCUCCUCCUUCUCCAGGACCGUCCCUUGGGGUACAGCCAGGAAAGGCACCUCAUUCGCAAGCCACAGCAGUGACAAUGUGGACCCUUAACUUGCUGAGCCCACCAGGGAACUCCUCCCCCAAAGUAUUUUGACCCACAUCAUUUCAUCAGGGACUGGGUGGUGUCUCUCAGUAAAGACAGAGAAUGACAAAGGAAUUCUGAUAUAUACGCUCAGGCUAACAGAGGACAUUGGGGCCAAAGCCAGAAAAGACUCACGUACAGUGGUGAGUUGGAACUGGCUUGAUCUGUUGGGCGAGAUUCAAUGACAUCACUCGAGUCACUUGAAAUUGACCAGGGUUAGUAUUUACACCACGGGAAUUGGCAGAUGCUGCAAAUUUGGGAUUUCUCGUGUGAAUCGUGUGAGGGAAGGGGUGGACAUUGCCUUUUGGAAUGUGAGCAGAGCAUCACAAG
RNAcentral lists this long non-coding RNA (740 nucleotides) under Sus scrofa (pig). Its description in RNAcentral is "lncRNA (ENSSSCG00070026312.1)". Lineage: Eukaryota; Metazoa; Chordata; Mammalia; Artiodactyla; Suidae. The record is from RNAcentral.